UACCAAUCGAGAGUGAUGGGGAGAGAAUUGGCUCGAUGAUCCAUCCGGCAACCGAGUAGAACGAAUUUGUCACGGUGCCCCACCCAACCCAGUAAAGGGAAGGAUUAGUC
This 110-nucleotide non-coding RNA is filed under the name Candidatus Woeseibacteriota. Its description in RNAcentral is "Candidatus Woesebacteria SAM-I sequence". It matches the Rfam family "SAM riboswitch aptamer (S box leader)". Rfam says of the family: The SAM riboswitch is found upstream of a number of genes which code for proteins involved in methionine or cysteine biosynthesis in Gram-positive bacteria. The SAM riboswitch acts at the level of transcription termination control. The record is from RNAcentral.